AGAGUUUGAUCCGGGCUCAGGAUGAACGCUAGCGGCAGGCCUAAUACAUGCAAGUCGGACGGGAUUGAGAAGCUUGCUUUUCAUGAGAGUGGCGCACGGGUGCGUAACACGUAUGUAACCUACCAUUGUCAGGGGGAUAGCCUCUCGAAAGAGAGAUUAACACCGCAUAACACUGAGAUCUGGCAUCAGAUUUCAAUCAAAUAUUUAUAGGACAAUGAUGGGCAUGCGGGACAUUAGCUAGAUGGUGAGGUAACGGCUCACCAUGGCGACGAUGUCUAGGGGAUCUGAGAGGAUGACCCCCCACACUGGUACUGAGACACGGACCAGACUCCUACGGGAGGCAGCAGUAAGGAAUAUUGGUCAAUGGAGGCAACUCUGAACCAGCCAUGCCGCGUGCAGGAAGACGGCCCUACGGGUUGUAAACUGCUUUUGUACCGGAAUAAACCUAGAUACGUGUAUCUAGCUGAAUGUACGGUAAGAAUAAGGAUCGGCUAACUCCGUGCCAGCAGCCGCGGUAAUACGGAGGAUCCAAGCGUUAUCCGGAUUUAUUGGGUUUAAAGGGUGCGUAGGCGGCUUGUUAAGUCAGGGGUGAAAGGCGGUAGCUUAACUAUCGGAGUGCCCUUGAUACUGACGAGCUUGAAUGCAGCUGAGGUAGGCGGAAUGUGACAAGUAGCGGUGAAAUGCAUAGAUAUGUCACAGAACACCGAUUGCGAAGGCAGCUUACUAAAGUGCGAUUGACGCUGAGGCACGAAAGCGUGGGGAUCAAACAGGAUUAGAUACCCUGGUAGUCCACGCCCUAAACGAUGAAUACUCGAUGUUGGCGAUAUACGGUCAGCGUCUAAGCGAAAGCGUUAAGUAUUCCACCUGGGGAGUACGCCCGCAAGGGUGAAACUCAAAGGAAUUGACGGGGGCCCGCACAAGCGGAGGAGCAUGUG
This 935-nucleotide ribosomal RNA is filed under the name uncultured bacterium. RNAcentral describes it as "bacterial SSU rRNA". It matches the Rfam family "Bacterial small subunit ribosomal RNA", at positions 8 to 943 of the family's 1533-position model. The record is from RNAcentral.